UUCUCCUCAGCCAUAACCUGUGUUUUCUCCCUCCAAGAGACCAGCCCGCCACAAGGUAUGGUGACCGGCGCUCGCAGGCUUCGAAACAUGGUUUCUUUCAGCCACCGGGUUCCCUUCGAACCCUGAUUUUGACGAAGCAAAAGGGAAUCCGCGGCCCAAACUCAAGGUAAGUCCCCUUUUUCUUUUCUUUUUUUGAAUGUAAAAUGACAAAAAUUAAAAAAAGGGAAGAAAUAGCAAAUAGAACCGAAGAACAAAGAUCACCUUCUCAAGAAGUGGCUUUCUGAUUUUCAAGCAAUGUGUAUUGCGUAUGUAUUGUGUGUAUUCAUUUAUAUUGCCUUCGUAACCAUUACAAAGAUUAAAUCGUUGGCUUUAUAGCCGAAAAGAAAUCAAAAGAUAAAAAAUACAAACAAAUUCCUAUUGGCUGUCGUUCUCGCUGCUGUUUUUUGUUUCCUUUCGCAGGUACAGGUGCGUGGCGUAUGUACGAGGCUGUAGUGGCGUACGAGGGCUAUUGACGUAGAGGCCCGAGCGUUGUACGGCGCCUGGAGGCUGCAGUAGUUGCUGCGGCACAAGCAGAGGAGAUGACCUAGGGUUUCUGAGGCUGUUAGGGAAAUGGGCCUAUAGGGCUUGCUCCGAUUUGGGUUCUAACAUUAAUUUGGGCUUGUAAUGGGCAUCGGGUUUGUCUUUGGAUCAUAGGAUUGGUCUUUGUAAAUAGGCUAUGGGCUAUAUUAGUAAUUUUUGGACUAAUGGACUGUAAAAGGACAUUUGGGUUUUAUGUUUAUUAUUUUUGGUUUGUUUUUUGUUUUUUUAUAUGGGUCGAACAAAUUUGGCCCACUACAGCUACCCCUCUUUGCUCAUUGUUGUGUAACGAGAAUAGAGCAAAGACUAUCAAAUGACCAAAUUUGCCCAGUCUGGCUAAGUCUCAAAAUCUUGACCCUCAUCUUCCCCAAAGGUAUUCUGAUGUCUUUAGGAGUGUCAAAUUGGCUAUCCUCAACUUGCUUCUUGAAAACUCAGGAACACCAAUCUGUUAUUUUCGAUCUGCUCUCUGCCAAUACAGAGAUGCCAAAUCUGCUAUCUUCGAUCUGCUCUCUGUCAAUACAGAGACGCCAAAUCUGCUAUAUUCGAUCUACCCUCUGACAAUACAGAGACGCCAAAUCUGCUAUCUUCGAUCUGCCCUCUAACAAUACAGAGACACCAAAUCUGCUAUAUUCGAUCUGCUCCUUGCCAAUACAGAGACGCCAAAUCUGUUAUCUUCGAUCUGCUCUCCGCUAAUACAGAGACACCAAAUCUGCUAUCUUCAAUUUACUCUCCGCCAGUACAGAGACGCCAAAUCUGCUUAUCUUUAAUCUGCUCUCCGCCAAUACAGAGACGCCAAAUCUGCUAUCUUCGAUCUGCCCUCUGACAAUACAGAGACGUCAAAUCUGUUAUCUUCGAUCUGCUCUCUGUCAACACAGAGAUGCCAAAUCUGCUAUCUUCGAUCUGCUCUCUACCAAUACAGAGACGCCAAAUCUGCUAUCUUCGAUCUGCUCUCCGCUAAUACAGAAACGCCAAAUCUGCUAUCUUCGAUUUGCUCUCCGCCAAUACAGAGACGCCAAAUCUGCUAUCUUCGAUCUGCUCUCUGUCAACACAGAGAUGCCAAAUCUGCUAUCUUUGAUUUGCUCUCUGCCAAUACAGAGACGCCAAAUCUGCUAUCUUAAUCUGCCCCCUGCCAAUACAAAGACGUCAAAUCUGUUAUCUUCGAUCUACUCUCUGUCAACACAGAGAUGCCAAAUCUGCUAUCUUCGAUCUACUCUCCGCCAAUACAAGAACGCCAAAUCUGCAGGAUUCGCCAAUGUCGCUACACUGUCUUCUAAAGACAUGAUGUAUAGAAUGGGUUUCCUGUAUCUGUGUAUGUCAAAUAACUAGGAUACUAUGAUCGAGAUGAAUCAAACAUCCCUAACUAGAUGUAGUGUUUAUGUCAAAUAAUUAGAAUGCUAUGAUCGAAAUGAAUCAAGUGCUCCUAACUAAAUGAAUGAUUACGAAUGUAGAAAUGUCAUGAGAGUGAUUCCUUUUUAAACGCUUAAGGUAUCAUUGCUCAUAAUUCACCAAGGUUCUAUCAUUGAUGUACUAUCACGCUCUCUUACUUAGCCGUUAUCUUUGAUAGAAAAUUUGAAGAAAUAGUCACAAGUAGGACUCUUCUUUUUCGAAUGUUUCCAACUUUGAACCUGAUUAGUCCUAACUAGUGGCCCUGUUUCAGGUUCUUGUACUAUUUAGAGACUUUCCAAAGUAAUAUGCAUAACAUCUUUUGUGUGAAUAUUACAUGUCCAAAAAUCGCGAUUUCAACAAAAAUGCUCGCAAGAGAUUAUCAUAAUGGACAAAUGGAAUUUUAUUAAGCAAAAUUUGACGUGAAUACAUAGGAUCACGAAUAUGAUAAGGUGCAAAGAAUGAGAAAAAGGUGCCCCAGAUAUCGCAGCACGAGUUUCACUAUUCUAAUUUCUCAAAGGCUCCUUCGAACCAAAUGUAUAUUCAGGAGAUCCUGCGAAUUUUUUUGAUUCUCCAAGGUGUACUGUUCUUCUGUCUUGCUGAUUUCGGGAGGACAAGACUACCAUAUGCCCCAUAUUUAAAAUUUGAGCUGCCCGUUUUUGGGUUUUCAACUCAAAAGCCCCUUUGGUUCUAAAGUGCCCUUUGCGGGUUUUCACCUUGGCCUCUCCAUUAUUUUUUUUCAGAGUUCAGAGCGCCCUUUGCGGGUUUUCACUCUAGCCUCUCUUUCUUCAGGUAAAAUAUUUCUUGACCGAACCUGAGUUUACAGGAUUGGGCAAGUUUCUACCAUCCAUCUUAGCUAGAAUCAAUACUCCUCCGGAGAAAGUUUUCUUCACCACGUAAGGUUCUUCCCAAUUAGGCAUCCAUUUCCCUCGAAAAUCCUUCUGUAUGGGGAGGAUCUUUUUCAAAACCAGAUUUCCCUCGUGGAAUUCUCUAGGGCGAACCUUUUUGUCAUAAGCCUGCAUCAUUCGUUUUUGGUAUAUCUGACCAUGACGAAUAGCUUUUAGCUUUUUUUCCUCGAUCAAGUUCAAUUGGUCAUAUCGAUACUGGACCCACUCUGUUUUAUCCAAUUUUAGUUCCGACGACACUCGGAAGGAUGGGAUCUCGACUUCGAUGGGCAAAACUGCUUUCAUUCUGUAGACCAGGGAGAAAGGCGUUGCCCCAGUUGAGGUUCUGACCGAUGUUCGAUAAGUAAAGAGGGCAAAUGGUAAUUUCUCAUGCCAAUCUUUGUAGGUCUCGGUCAUCUUUCCCACGAUAUUCUUAAUAUUUUUAUUGGCUGCUUCCACUGCCCUAUUCAUCUUCGGGCGAUAUGGUGACGAGUUGUGAUGUCUGAUCUUAAAUUGACUGCAGACUUCCACUAUCGUACUGUUGUUCAAGUUUAAUGCAUUGUCAGAUAUGGUCCUCCCCGGUAUUCCAUAUCGACAUAUGAUCUCUUUUUUCAAGAACCUGCUCACUGCUGACUUUGUAACACUAGCAUACAAAGCAGCUUCUACCCAUUUGGUGAAGUAGUCGAUAACCAAAAAGAUGAACCGAUGCCCAUUGAAAGCUUUUGGCAAUAUUGGUCUAAUCACAUCCAUGCCCCACAUAGAGAAAGGCCAUGGGGAAACCAUGACAUGUAGCGGUGAAGGAGGCACAUGAAUUUUGUCUCUAUAAAUUUGACAUUUAUGACACCUCUUGGCGUAAUUGAUACAGUUUCCUUCCAUAGUGGACCAAUAAUACCCAAAUCUCAUAAUUUGCUUGGCCAUUGUGAAGUCAUUAGCGUGUGUCCCACAAACGCCCUCAUAGACUUCUUCCAAGAUUUUCUUAGCCUCUACAGCGUCGACGCAUCUUAAUAGCACUUGAUCCUUUCUUCUUUUGUAUAGGAUCUCCCUAUCUAAGACAUAGUUGAUGGCCAAUCUUCUCAGCGUCCUUUUGUCAUUUUUACUUGCCUGGUCGGAGUAUUCACGAUUCCUCACGUAUUGCAAUAUAUCAUGAUACCAAGGGUGAUCAUCUUUUUCUUCUUCCUCUUCAAUAUUAUAACAGUGAGCUGGAGUUUCAUAAAUGCCCAUCCGGAUGGGUUUGACAUCUUCUUGUUUGUUCACCUUGAUCAGGGAGGCUAAGGUAGCCAAAGCGUCAGUCAUCUGAUUUUCAUCUCGUGGAAGGUAGUGGAAGGUAAUAUCAUCAAACUCUUUAUCCAAAUCCAGGACCAGCUUCCGAUAAUCGAUUAACUUGGGGUCUCUGGUCUCCCAUUCUCCCUUGAGUUGAUAAAUCACUAGCGCAGAAUCUCCAUACACCUCUAGCAUUUUAAUCUUAUGUUCUAUGGCUGCACGGACUCCCAUGAUGCACGCCUCAUAUUCCACCAUAUUAUUCGUACAAUCAAAAUCCAAUUUACUAGUGAAUGGAUAAUGAUCUCCGUUUGGGGAUACCAAGACGGCCCCGAUUCCAUUGCCCACAGCAUUUGACGCCCCGUCGAAGUUCAAUUUCCAAGGAAGUUCUUCUAGAGCACCUUCUUCAGUGGUAGCAACACAUAUUAGGUCUUUAUUCAGAAAGUCGAAGUUCAAAGGCUCGUAGUCUUCCAAAGCUCUACUGGCCAGGAAAUCUGCUAUUGCACUUCUUUUUACCGCUUUCUGGUUCACAUAGACUAUGUCGAAUUUAGAAAGCAGAAUCUGCCAUCGGGCCAUCCUUCUAUUCAAGGCUGUUGACUCCAUCAUGUACUUUAAAGGGUCUAAUUUUGAUAUGAGCCAAGUGGUGUGAUACAACAUAUACUGCCUCAGCCUUCGGGUUGUCCAAAUUAGGGCACAACACAACUUCUCUAUCGGUGGGUAUCUUGUCUCACAUUCCGUGAACUUUUUACUAAGAUAGUCAAUAGCCUUCUCUUUCCUUUCUGACUCAUCAUGCUGACCCAAUACGUAUCCCAUGGAAUUCUCAAAUACUGUCAAAUACAGUAUCAAUGGCUUAUCGGGGUUAGGUGGCAUUAGCAUCGGGGCGUUGGAUAAGUACUGUUUGACCUUGUCGAAAGCCCUUUGACAUUCUUCAUCCCAUUCACCUGGGUUAUGUUUCUUGAUGAGGCAAAAGACAUGGUCACAUUUCUCGGUCAGUUGUGAAAUAAACCGAGCAAUGUAAUUUAGUCUUCUUAGAAAGCCUCGAGCCUCCUUUUGGGUACGCAGUGGAGAUAGCUCUUGUAUGGCUUUGACUUUGUCUGGAUCAAUCUCAAUCUCUUUUUCACUAACCACGAAUCCGAGCAACUUUCCAGACUUGGCUCUGAAUGUACAUUUGGCUGGGUUGAGUUUUAGCUGAAACUUCCUCAACCUCAAGAACAAUUUUCUCAAGACUUGUAUGUGCUCCUUCUCUGUUCGAGAUUUUGCGAUCAUAUUAUCGACAUAAACCUCGAUUUCUUUAUGCAUCAUGUCGUGGAACAGGGUUACCAUGGCUCUUUGAUAAGUUACCCCCGUAUUCUUCAGUCUAAAUGGCAUCACUUUGUAACAGAACGUACCCCACAUGGUUACAAAUGUAGUCUUCUCCAUAUCCUCAGGAUGCAUCUUGAUUUGGUUAUAUCCAGAAAAAUUAUCCAUGAAUGAAAACAGUAAGUGUCCUACCGUGUUGUCCACUAGGGUAUUGAUAUGAGGCAGCGGGAAAUUAUCUUUCGAGCUGGCUUUAUUCAAAUCUCUGUAGUCCACACACAUUUACACUUUUCCAUCUUUCUUAGGGACGGGGACGAUGUUAGCUACCCAAUCUGAGUAUUUUACCACCUUCAGAAAUCCGGCGUCGAACUACUUUUGAACCUCUUCUUUUAUUUUUAACAAGACAUCGGGCCUCAUUCUUCGGAGUUUUUGCUGAACUGGCUUACAUUCUUCCUUUAUGGGGAGUCAGUGUCCAGCCCAGGCAUAUCUUGGUAUGACCAUGCUAAGACAUCUUUAAAUUCUUGAAGUAAUUCAAUGAGGUCUCGCUUCAUCUCCGUAGUGAUACACGUUCCGAUCUUCACCUCUUGCCCUUCUCUUAAGCUCAUAAUUUCAACUGAUUCUUUGUGAGGUAAGAUUUGUUUCUCGUCUUGUUCUACCAUCCUCAACAAAUCAGGAGAUAAGUUACAGCCUUGGUCAUCUUCAAAAUCCUGAGAAUCCUCCAUACACACAUCUCGCUCGAAAGGUAAUUCUGAGUCGCUAGUAGUGUCACUCGUAUCAUUAAUAUCUGGGGACCUGUUAUGAGGAUGAAGGCAGAUACAAAGAAUCAAAAGAAUUCGAAACAUUUAUUUGCGUGGUAUGAUUAUGAAUGACGAAUGAAAGAAUAUUUAGAAGAAUGUUUCAAGAAUAAAAGAAUCCGAAAAUAAUCAUUUGUAUGGUUAUGAAUGAAAUUGAAAGGACGAGAGAACAUUUGCUCAAAAAUGAUAAUAACCGUGCAUUUGAUUGAAAUAACGCUUUUAAACAUUAGCCUAUUUCACAAAAGAUUCUUAUUACUCCUAGGCCUAGAGCAAUAAGUGUAUUUUGGACAUUACUCUGAAUCUGUUCUAAAAACUACAUGAAUCUCUUCCGCAGUCCAGUUGUCCAGAACACUUCCAGGUGUGUAGGGGCAAAUGUCUGACAAAUUUUCUCUUUCAGUCUCCUCUUCGUAUAUGACAUUGAUGUCUAAGCUUUCCAACCUUUCUUCUAUAGCUCCCAUCAUUGGCGUGUCUCUCUUAGGAUAAAUGAUUCCCCCGGAAAAAAAUGUUUUCGAUAUAUGGGGGAAUAUUAUUGGUUCUCACUUGAUUUUCUCCCCCGUUAACUGUGUUCUCCUUCUCUCUUGCUUCUUUUCUAGCUCCCUUCUCCUUUGUUUCGCAUCUGGCUUAAAUCCUAGGUCGAAGCGGUCUCUCUUGUCUUUCAGUAUUGGCGUUUCAAUCCUUCAUUGUAGAUGUCUCCCAAGUUCUCUCCCGGGUAGGGCCCAUUUUCCAAUCGUCAACUGGAGGCUCAUCCUCGUGGUUUUGGACAAUUUUGGCACCAGAAUUUUACUUCCCUCGGCGAUGAACGUCGCAUUAACAAAUUCUAAAGAUCGAAAUGAGCAUUCGAUUGCUUCAUCAUCUGUCUCCAAAUAUGGUGCAUUAUUGCUCACAGUUGCAAUGGUAUCCUCUUCAGCCUUGAUCGUUAUCAGCCUCCCCUCCGAUACCAGCUUCAAUUUUUUAUGCAACGAGGAAUGCACUGCCCCAGCUGAAUGUAUCCAGGGCCUCCCCAAUAAGCAAUUAUAUGAGGGCUUGAUAUCCAUCACGAGGAAAUCGGCCUCAUAUGUGUUUGGCCCGAUCUGAAGAGGUACAUCAAUUCUGCCCAUCACCUUCCUCUCCGUGCCGUCGAAUGUCUUUACGAUGUUUUGGAAUUCCUUUAUGUGAGAGCUGUCUAUAGGUAAUCUGUUAAGUGUAGUCAAGGGCAAAAUGUUCAAGGCUGAACCAUUGUCAAUCAGUACGCCUGGCAGCGUAUACCCUUUACAGUGCGUGGUAAUAUACAAAGCUUUAGUCGACUCCAUGCCCCCAGGUGGUAUCUCAUCGUCAUUGAAGAAAAUAAAAUUGUCGGCACUGAUGUUGCUAACCAAACGGUCCAACUUGUUAUCAUUGGCAACGUACGUUUCAUUCAAGACCUUCAUUAGCGCACUACGAUAAAUUUCUGAGCUUAGAAGCAAGGCCAGCACCGAGAUACGGGCUGGUUGUUUACGUAGCUGUUCCACCACACUGUAUUCGCUAUGCUUUAGGAAUUUUAAAAACUCAUUGGCCUCCUCUUCGUUAACUGGCUCGUUAACAGGUUCGGUUGCUUUUCCCUUCAUUUCCUCGACCACCUGGGUUUUUCCUUUUGUGGGCUAUGCCUCCUCAUUUGCUAUAUCGUAACGUCUCCCGCUACGUGUAUAGGAGCCCCUAUCUUGGUCCCCUCUUGAAGCGUUAACCAGGUUCUCCUUUCCCGGUAUCGUCACACUGCACUCAUAAUUCCAUGAGACAUUUUUGCUAUAUUUGUAGGGGAAGACUGCAGGUCUUUGGAUUAUGACCCUCGGUGGCACUUGUACUCUAGCUUCAUUAUUUUGGGGUCUCAAAAUGAUCACCACAGGAUAGUUAGAUGUUCGAUUCUGUACCGUCGAUUCUUCCUCCGAUGCGUAUAUAUCUCCCUCUACAGGGUUUUUGGCUUCUUCAUAAAACUCAAUUUCCUUAUUGUUCAUCAUGUUUUGCACUAAGGCUUUGAACUCCACGCAAUCUUGGAUUUCAUGCCCCACCUCAUCGUGAAACUCACAGUAGUUUCUCUCUUCUUCGGAUUCUUCCCUUGAAUCCAACGCGAUCAAUCCUCUCUUGGCCAUCUCCUUCCAUACCCGCCUCAACGGGGUCCUGACUUCUGCCACCUCAUACUUGGUCUUCUUAUUCCUACCUUCACUUAUCUCAUUCACUCAUUGGUCGAUAUGAUUAGGGAGUGGGUUUUCUGCUACAUUGGGUGUGGCUGGGUCGUCAAAUCUCACGAUCCCCAUCUUAAUAAGUCUUUCAAGUACUUUCUUAAACGCAGCGCAGUUUUCGAUAGAGUGCCCGGUGAUUCCUGCGUGGUAUUCACAUUGGGCGUUUGUGUCAUACCAUUUGGGAUACGGGGGCUGCAGUGGCUUCAGGUAGAAAGGAGACACCAUAUGAGCUUGAACAGGUUCUGGUACAACUCCCUAUACGUCAUGGGUAUAAGGGUGAAUUGUGGCCUUUCUGUGUUCUCCCUCGCGUUGGAUUCUUGUUUUACAGAGCUUUGCUGAUUGGUGGUCACCGUCUUGGGUUGAUUUACGGUGAAUGACUUGGACUGACCCUUGUUGAAUGUGCUCGUGUUGUUUACUUCAUUGUCUCUUUUCCUCAGGGCUGACUUCCUGGUACUAUCCCUGAAUUCUAUCUUACCGCUCCUUAUAGAAUUUUCGAUAAUUUCCCCCGUCAUCACUAUGUCGGAGAAGCUCUUGGUGGCGCUUCCCAACAUAUGAGUGAUUAAAGGGGCUUUCAAGGUGUUGAUAAUGAGCAUUGUCGUCUCUUUUUCUAGAAGCAGCGGCUGAACUUGUAUGGCCACUUCUCUCCACCUUUGUGCAUACUGUCUGAAGCGUUUAUUUGACUUUUUCUCCAUAUUCUGGAGAGUGAUUCUGUCGGAGGUCAUGUCCGUCACGUGGUUGUAUUGUUUCAUAAAGGCCUGAGCCAGGUCCUUCCAUGAGUUAAUUUUAGAGCGGCUUAAUUGGUUAUACCAUUUAGACACUGCCCCGACCAGACUAUCUUGAAAGUAAUGGAUCAAUAGCUGGUCGUUGUUAACAUAUCCCGUCAUUCGCCUGCAGAACAUAGUGAUGUGGGCUUCAGGGCAGCUUGUUCUAUUGUAUUUCUCGAACUCGGGCAUUUUGAAUUUGGGGGGAAGGACUAAAUCUGGGACCAAAUUCAAGUCCUUGGCAUCAAUCCCUUGAUGAUGAUCCGCGCUCUCCAUGACUUUGAAUUUCUCCUUAAGCCAUCUACAUCGUUCUUCCAAUAGUUUUUACGAAUCUGCACUCGCCUUUUCUUCUUCAGCAACUUCAUCCAAAUCGGGAACGGGCGGAUAGUUUGGGUUGUUGACAAAGUUAGAGCCUGAGCCGGCUUGGAAGUUAUUGCUGGGGUAUGAUUGUGACAGAUGGUUUUUGUAGGUUAAUCUCGGGAUUCAUCAGUAUAUACAUCGGAGUAAAGCCAAGGGGUAUUGGAGAUCCUCAUUAAUUUCUUCAACUUUGUCCAUGGGGCUCUUUCCCUUAUACAUUCCUCCCAACAGCAAUUUGGACAACUGGGACAUCAUUUCUCUCUGGGACUCCAUCAUUUGUUCAUUCAUCUCUAGCUGAAUCUUGGCUAGUUGCUAUUGCAUCUGAGGCUACAUUUGUUCUUGCAUGUCCUUUUGCAUUUGCUCUAAUUUCUCAAGUCUCUUAUCUAUUGAUUUUUUUUGUACCGUAGGGGUGCGUGGUUGGUUGGUUUUCGUUAGUUUCCAGGUUACUGAAAUAAUUUUUAAUUAAUUAAUUAGAAAACUCUUAUGGCCAUUAAUGCAUAAUGAUAUGAUGUAAUGAAAAUGCAUGAAUGCAAAUGAGGCAUCAAUUUUGAUUCAAUUGCCCUUAGAAAAUUUCACUUGAAAAUAAAAUCUUUUUACAUAAAGUUGAGUUACAAAUAAAAUUUCGCUCUAAUACUCAAAGUCCUAAUUUUUCUAAACAACGGGCUAGCUCUUGUCUACGAUCCAAUUCCAACUCAUACUUCACGCUCAGUGUGUUCGCCUGAACCACUAAAGUUUGCAAGUAGUCUGCUACCUCCCGAAUCUGGGCUAUGGCUUCCCUCAUAAGGUAAUCUCUAUUUCUGACUUGGUCUUGCGCAUGGUGAAGCUGUUCUUUCCAACGAUCUUUGUUUGCCUCGAAAAACUGGAUCCGCAUCUCACAGUUUUGCAGUGACGCCUCUAACUCUUCUAUUUUUCCUUUCAUUUCUUCUAUCUUGCUCAAGCUUGCUCUCAAUUCCAUUGCAGUGUUGCGGUUUCGGUACUGAUGCAGAGACUUCUCAAGUUCUGCCACUCUAGCCCUUAAUUCACCUCGCUCAUUUCUGCUCUUCGACAGACUAUUCUCCAAAUCUUCGUUUCGUGUCUGAGCUUCUCGGAAUUUUCUUUCCCACCAGUCGGUAUUGGCUUUUUCUUCUUGAAUUUCAUGGCGCCAUUGUUCGGAAGUCUUACCUAAACCUGCAGUCCUCAUAGAUAGGCGUAGCUUCUUGUAGUCCGUCUUCAAGUUGUCUAGAUCUUCUUCGGCCUUAGUUUUUCCUUUUCUCCACUUCUUAGCCUCUGACCUCUGAACAUCAGCAUCUAACCUUAAGUGCAUCUUCUCUUCCUCCAAUUGUUCGAUCUUCUUCCCAAGCUCCAAAAUCUUCUUCUCGAAGUCUUGUUUUAUAAUUUCCAAUUCUGAUAGGGCGACUCGUAAUUGUUCUUCGAUAGGUCGAGCAUUCUCCAAGCUUGGCCUAAGAAUAUUAUCAUUAACCCUCUUCUUAAACCACUCGUUAUACUCAGGCGUUACCAUGGAACCGAUGGCUAACCUCUUCAUCCAACAAGUUUACUUUCAAGCAUUCGAUAACUCCCGAACUCUCUUCUUAUAGUGAGCACUUUUAAACGAGAAAUCACUCUGAGCAAAUCCAUAGGUCGCGGGUACAAACUACCUCAACUUAUAUUGCCUCAAGGCUAGCAAUGGAGUAUACCCUGUAGCUCCCCAAAUCCCUAACAAUGGCACCCAAUCGAAGUUACCACAUCGGUACAUGAUCUCGUCAGGAACCAUCCAAUAAGCUCUCCACUCGAUAUCCCCCUCCUUGAGGUUCUGAAGAAUAUCCAUCCACUUCUCUUUCGAGAUAUCCUCUCUCCUUUGUAUAGCUACCUCUUCUUUUAACGAAGAAUAACCCUCAGAAAAGACCCGAUAGGGAACCUUGUCUACCUUCCAAAAGUGCUCGCGAAACCAUGCCAUCAAUAAUUGUGCACAUCCAAUGAACCGUCCUUCACCCAUCCUCUGACAUGAGCUCAAAGAUCUGAAUGUUUCUGCCAAUAUUGCCAGUACCGGUGUGAUUCCCUUCUCAAGGCGAUCGAAUAAAUCAAUGACUGCUUUGUCCACGUGCCUCAAAGCCUUGGGAAAAAUUACCAACCCGUAGAGGCUUAAGGCAAAGAGGUCGACCCUCUUUCUUUCGUCUGGAUGCGUCAAGAUCAAAUCUCACAAAUUCUCCCAAGGGAUACAUUUGCUAUCUCCUUUUCGCUAAAUCCGUGCGGUGACCCAAGGCUCCCUUAUCCCAGAAAUGCUCAUCCGAAAGUCUGACUACUAAAAACCCGGGCAUAAGUCUUCCGGACCUGAAUUUUUGGACACCUGAGCAAAGUAGUGUAUUCCUCCAUGGUAGGUACCAAAUCCACUUCUCCAAAAGUGAAACACUUGUACGCAGAAUUCCAAAACUGCACCAAGGCUCAGAACAAAUGCUUAUCCACUCUAAUGUCUAGUAGGUAGGAUAUGUCACCAUAGCUUUGGUAAAACAACUACUUGAUCCCUUCAUCCCAACUAGCCCAAAUGCCUCUCAACUCUUGCAGCUCAUUCUGUACUACGUUGACGCAAGUGAAAUCCUACAGCUCCGAUACAUACCCUUCUGCCAAGCUAUCCCCUCUCUCUAAUUGUAGCCUUUCCGAACAUGCACGAAUGGCCGCAUUAUCCUCGAUUUUACUAAGAAAUUCAUUCUCCAUGUCAAACUUUCUAACUUAGUAAUUGAAUACGGAUUAACACCUCCUUUAGUAUGCAAUGUCAUGCAAAAAAAAUCAAAACAAAACACAGGUUAGUAUCACAUGAUAAUGAUAAAAUGCAAGCACAUAAACGAUAAUCGCAACGCAUAUACGGGUAAGUACUAAGGCUCGACGCGGCUCCACCCAAGGAUAGCUCUUAAGGUUCACUAUAUGUGGUUUAGUUCUAGGGAUAAGGUACCUGAACCAGCAGAUUCAUCAAUCCUCACCCAUUAUAGGCUCAUAUAGAUCGAGUUCGGUUCGGGGGGAUACAUUUCCCUAUGACCAUGCGGAGAUGAAAAUCUCACAAAAUCAUAGGUACGGAUGUACCCCGGAAGUAAUCCACUAGCCCAUGCGGAGGUGGAAACCUCACGAAAGCGUAGUUUCUUACUCCCACUUAGAAGGUACGACCACAGCGGUCGUGCAAUGAAAUGCAGCAUUAUUCUACACGAUCCAAACAUAAUAACCAUACAAACAAAUGCAUUUGUGAUUUUAAAAACAAGUUUUCGAUUUUUGAUAGAAGGACAGUAAAUAAUCAAUUUUUAUGGCUCGACUCUCAAAAAGGUCCCCAGCGGAGUCGCCAAGCUGUCGAAACCGUCCUUUCGGUUUAAAAAUUUUAGGUUUAAUAGAAAAAACGAGGAAUCGACUGUUUGAAAAUAAAACAUAGGGUCGCCACCGAUCCUUUUGUUUAGGUGUGAUCGGAUCACCUAAGAAUUUGAUUAUUUUAAUAAAACAUUUUUAGUUUACUAAAACAACGAUUCUGGUCUACGAAAAUAUGAAAAAAAGGGCUCGGGAGUCGGUUACGUAUGAGGAAGGAUUAACACCCUCAUUACGCCCAAAAUUGGUACCAAAUCGAUUAAAUACCGUCCUUAUGUCUAAAAUUAAAAAUGUUUUUGAAAUGCGGUUCUUGUUAAUAACAUUUGAAUAACCCGAGUUGGUUGCAAAAAAUCUUCUUGUUUCGACGUCCGAAAGUUUAUAAUUUGAAAUUAACAAAAGGAUGCCCAACUAUUUGGUCCAACAAAAAACCGAAACCCAGCACAGUAGGGCACGAUUCCUCAAAUUUCCGAACAUCGAACAUUGCCUCACCUUAGAAAAUACGGGUGAAAUUCUGAAGGGAUCUUCGAUUGUUUUGAGCGAAUGAAAAAGCGCAACCCAACACGAUAGGGCUCGAUUCUCAAAUCGCCAAACAUCGAACAUCGCCUUCGUUUUGAAAGGUUUUUAAUAAACAUGAAUGAAAACCUAAAGGAAUAUUCGAUUGUUUUGAACAAACGAGAAAACACAACCCAGCACGAUAGGGCAUGAUUCCCGAAUUGUCAAACACCUAGUACCUUCGUUUUAAAGGAUUUCUAGAAGACCUGAGUGAAAUUUUGAAGGGAUAUUUGAUUAUUUUAAACAAACGAGAAAUUGCAACCCAACACGUUAGGGCACGAUUCCACGAAUUGCCAAAUAUCGCAUAUCGCCUUCGUUUAAGGGAUUUUAAAAUAUAUGAGUGAAAUUUUGAAAUGAUAUUCGAUUAUUUUGAGCAACUGUAAAAUUGCAACCCAACACGUUAGGGCAAGAUUCCGCGAAUUGCCAAAUAUCAAAUCUCGUCUUCGUUUUAAAGAAUUUUUGAAUGAAUGAUUAUAAAGCUAGCUUAAGACGUAUUAAUUCGAUUUAAAAUAAGACGAAAUUAAUCAUAAAUUUGGGUUUUAUAGAACCACAUUUCAAAAAUCAAGUGAAACGAUGAUAUGGGGUAAAAGGCACAUAUGAUGGUACGAUGCUUGAUGAACAAGAUUAUUAAUCGACUAGCAGAAUAAGCAAUUAAAAUAUAAUUAAUCUAGAAAUUAUAGCCUAAUUUCAAUCAUGUAUGAAUAAUAAUUGACAUAUCAACAGGAUGAAUACCAUGCGAUGGUAACAUAUAUGCUACAAUAUAGAACAACCAACAAAAUACAUGCAAAACAAAAUAGAAUUUAAAAGUCAAAGUGGUAUAGGAUUAAUAAACUCAUGCUAUAUAAAUUGACAAGUUUGAAUGAAAACUAGGAAUAUAUAUAUAACUAUUGAAAUAGAUAUUAGAAAAUGAAAGUUGAAUUAAAUUGUAUGUAAAAUAAUUUAAACAUAAAUUCAUUUAAAAGUUAACAGAAUAUAUGAUAAUAAAAAUAUAUGAUACAAAAAAUACAUAACAAAAUAUAAUGCCCCAAAAUAGAUUUAUAAGGAAUGUACAUAUAAUUUUAUAAAAAAGAAUGAGAUUAAUGAUAAUGUACAUAUAAUUUUAAGUUGGUCUAAAAACCAUACAUCCUUAUAUCAAAACAUUUAAAUAAUAGGCUAUAUAAAACACAAAAAAACAAUGUAAUAUAAAGAAACAUUAAAAAAGAUAAUAAUUUCAUAAUUAAAAAGUUUCUAAAAUUAUUUCAUAUAUACAUAAAGAAAAUAUUCGGUAAAUCACAAAGUAAAAGGUGUUUUAAAAUAAAAAAUCUAUUAAAGUAAUAAGUGUAUUAAUAUGUAUAUAUAUACAUAUAAAUCUAAAGUAAAUACGUGUAAAUUUAUAUAAAAAUGAUAAUAUGUUUAGGUUUAGUAAUGUAUAUGAAUCAAAUACAUAUACUAAUAUAAAAGAAUAUAAAAUAACUUAAAUCUUAUAUAAAAUAUAUAUACAAAGCAUAUUUGAAUAGCAAAAAAUACGUAUUGAAGUACAAGGAUAAAGUCAAAAGCCAUUAUAUGUAUGAAAAUACAUUAACUUUAUUAUAAUAUAUACGUAAUAUGUAUAGUAAUACAAAGGAAAUGAACAUUUAAAAUGUACAAAAUGUGAUAAUAACAUUACAAAAAAAACGAAUCUACAAGAAUGAAGAAGCAAUCAUCAAGAUUAAUUAAAAUGUACAAAUAAAAUAAAAUAAAAAGGGGUAUAAAACAAUAAAAACUUAAUUAAAAUUAAACUAAAACAAAGGGAUAAUUCGAAAACAAACAAAAAUAAAAAAGGACCAAUAUUUAAUGGGCGAAAACGUCUGGGGACUAAAACUGGCAAUAUACCAGAUCCCAAAACGUCAAGUUUAAGCGCAGGUUAGAUUGUAAACGAAUAUAAAUUAUUGGGCCAAAUUUAAAAAAGGUAAAUAAAACAAAUGGGGCGCACUUGAGCACGCGUACAAAAAAGGAGGGCUUUUACCGAAAAUAACCCUUCACCGCAUAGGCACGCGGGUCCUGAGGGUUAGGAAUCGGAUCGGGUCAGGUGUACCAAUACGACACCGUUUGGAAAGCCAUUGGAUAAGGCCUAAAACGGUGCCGUUCCUGGUCCUAUAAAAAGGCCCCUUUUAGCCCACUCAGCCGAACCCUAGCCUCCAUUCUUCUCCUCAGCCAUAACCUGUGUUUUCUCCCUCCAAGAGACCAGCCCGCCUCAAGGUAUGGUGACCGACGCUCGCAGGCUUCGAAACAGGGUUUCUUUCAGCCACCGAAUUCCCUUUGAACCCCGAUUUCGACGAAGCAAAAGGGAAUCCGCAGCCUAAACUCAAGGUAAGUCCUCUUUUUCUUUUCUUUUUUUGAAUGUAAAAUGACAAAAAAAUAAGAAGGAAGAAAUAGCAAAUAGAACCGAAGAACAAAGAUCACCUUCUCAAGAAGUAGCUUUCUGAUUUUCAAGCAAUGUGUAUUGCGUAUGUAUUGUGUGUAUUCGUUUAUAUUGCCUUCGUAACCAUUACAAAGAUUAAAUCGUUGGCUUUAUAGCCGAAAAGAAAUCAAAAGAUAAAAAAUACAAACAAAUUCCUAUUGGCUGCCGUUCUCGCUGCUGUUUUUUGUUUCCUUUCGCAGGUACAGGUGCGUGGCGUGUGUACGAGGCUGUACUGGCGUCCGAGGGCUGUUGACGUGGAGGCCCGAGCGUUGUACGGCGUCUGGAGGCUGCAGGAGUUGCUGCGGCGCAAGCAGAGGAGGUGACCUAGGGUUUCUGAAGCUGUUAGGGAAAUGGGCCUAUAGGGCUUGCUCCGACUUGGGUUCUAACAUUAAUUUGGGCUUGUAAUAGGCAUCGAGUUAGUCUUUGGAUCAUAGGAUUGGUCUUUGUAAAUAGGCUAUGGGCCAUAUUAGUAAUUUUUGGACUAAUGGACCGUAAAAGGACAUUUGGGUUUUAUGUUUAUUAUUUUUGGUUUGUUUUUUGUUUUUUAUAUGGGUCGGGCAAAUUUGGCCCACUACAUAUAUUUUGUUGGUUUUUAAAUAAUAAGAUUAAAAUAUCCUUAAAUAAUAUAAUUUAUUUUAAAUACGAAAAAAAUAUUUUCAUAAAUUUUUUAAUUGAGCUAAUAUUUAAUUAACUCGUAAAAUUAACUCAGCAAAACAAGUUUUUAGUGACGUUUUUUUAGGAGUGCCGCUAAAAAUAUUUUCAUGAUUUUUUUAAUUGAGUUAGUAUUUAAUUAACUCGUAAAAAAUAAUUUAAUUCUUUGUUAUUCUUAUUAAAAUCUCUUACCCUUAAACCCUAAUACGUUAACUCCUAAAACCCUAUCUAUAAAAACACUAAACCCCAAAUUAUAAACCUUAAACCAUUACCUUUUAAACACAAAACCAUAAACCCAAAAUAAUAAACAUUAAACCAUAAACCAUAAAACUCUAAAUCAUAGACUUUAAACAUUAAAUUCUAAAUCCUAAACUUUAAAAUAAAAUGAUUUUUUUGCGGCAUUUUUUUCAUAAACGCUGUUAAUAAUUGACCUUUUGCGGCGUAUUUCUCAUAAACGUCGCUAAUGCUUGACCUUUUGCGGCGUUUUUAUCAUAAAUUCUGCUAUAGCUCUAACAUUUUAUGGCGUUUACCUAUUAGCGCCACUAAUGUAUAACUUUUGCAGCAUUUUUGAUCCAAACACCGCUAAAAUCAGUUUUACUGUAGUAAACUAAGAGUUUGAAUAAUAGUAUAGAUUAAAUAUAAAUUUAAUUAAAUAUAAAUUCGGUCACUAAUGUUUUUAUGUUUUGUUAAAAUGGUCCUAAUUAUAUUUUUGAGUUUUUUUUCCGAUCAACUUUUAUUCUUUUUGUUUUUUCAUAUUGUUUUUUUUAACAGAUUUGAUGAAAGCAUGGUUAAAAAAGUUAACAGGAUGAUGUGGAAUGAAAUAUUUUUAAUGAGAUGUAAUCUAUUAUUUAGAUAAUCCAAUAAGAUAAAUACACGUGAGAAAUAAUAAAAUAAAUAAAUCAUACAUGAAAUUUAAAAAAAUAAACGUAAUUAUCUAAAAAAAGUUUCAAAAUGAAUGCAUGGGUUUAUUUAAUGAGAGGUUUCAAAAAGAUAAUUAAUAAAUCAAACAAAAAAUAUUGAAUGUGUGCAUUCAUUUUGAAACUUUUUUUUAGAUAAUUAAAUUAUUUUCAUUAAAUUAAGAGUUAUUUUUUAACUUCAUAAAUUAUUUAUUUUAUUAUUUUUCUCAUGUAAUUAUUUUAUUGGGUUAUCUAAGUAAUAAAUUAUAUCUCAUUAAAAAUAUUCUACAUAUGAGAUUCCAUAUCAUCCAGUUAACUUUUUUAACGGUAUUUUAAUCAAAUCUAUUAAAAAAAAGUAAUUUGGAAAAAAAGAAUAAAAGUUGAUGGUAAAAAAAAAAGAAGAAAAAGGCUCAAAAAUAUAAUUCGGGUCAUUUUGAUAAAGCAUGUAAACGUUAAUAGUCAAAUUUAUCAUGAAGCCAAAUAUUAUUGAAUAGGUAUAUUUUUAGUAACAUUUAAAAUUAUAUAUAAUAGUUGUUGAAAAAAAAUUAUAUAUAAUAAAUGAAUAUUAUAUAUAAAGAAUAUUUUUAGUAUAAAAUAUAUAUUUCUUUAAAGAUUAGUAUGCUACAAAUAACGUUUAACACAAACAAACUUAGGGUAGAGGUGUUCAUGGGUCGGGCCGGGCCAGGUUCGAGUCGGGCUCAACUAAAAAAUUAUGCCUAUUUAUUGGGCUCGGGCCAGGCCGGGCCUAAAAAAUGGGCCUAAAAUUUUGCCCAAGCCCAACCCGGAUAAAAAUACUAAAACCAGCGCCCGCCCGGCCUGCCCGUAUUUAUUUUUAUAUUAAUUUUUUAUUAUUUUUAAAUAUAUAUAAUACAUCAAAAAUACUAAAAAUAUCAAAAUAAAUAUUUUCCAACAAAUUGAAAAUAAAUUUUGAAAAAUAUGUAGACUUAAAUAACACUAAGAUAAAUGCAACUUAACAAGCAAAUGAUUCUAAAAUAAUAAAAAAAUUAACAAAUGCCUUUAAAAUAAUAAAAAAAUUAACAAUAAAAUAAAUUUUAUACAAUAUCCAAACAAUAACAACAAAAUAAUAGUAAUAUAAUAGUAAAAUGGUAGCAAAAUAUGGAAAAAAAAAACAAGAAAAUAACAUUCAAAAAUAAAAAAAAUAUGCAGAUUUUUUUUGUCCUUUAGUGAAUUCGGGCCGGGCCGGGUCGGGCCGGAGCUAAAAAUACCUUACCCAAGGCUCGGUCUAUUUUUUUAACGGACCUUAUUUUUUUGUCUAAGCCCAUUUUUCGGGCCCAUAUUUUUACCCAAACUCUUUCACAUUUCGGGCGGGCCAUUGGGCCGGGCCGGAUAGCCCGGCCCAUGCACACCUCUAACUUAGGGUACAUUACCGGUAUUUUUAAAUAAUAAUCCUUGUUUUAACCAUAAAAUUCAUUUCUAACCAUUAUCAAGUUUAGAUUAUUUUGAUCCAUGAAAUUAGACAAAAGUCCAAGAAUUUGGGCCUAAUAUUUGGGUCAAAAUAAAAACACUGUUCAAUCUUCUCCUUCUUCCCAGCUACGAGGCCUUUCCACACUUUCGAUUAUGUUUUAGACCCAUAGUCCGUGUCGUGCACCAGACUCGGUGUCUCGUCGGCAUCGGCACGCCGGCCAUGAACAACUAUUCCUUGUAAAAAAGGUCAUAAUAAUGCGGUUUCGGGGUUUGUUUACUGUUUCCAUAGGGAAGUUGAAGGGAUUUUCCCUUUCUCAACCAAUGAACUUAACACCAACUUUUUUCAGAGAUGAAGGUAUGCUUUUUUACAGCUUUGCGUUUGAAUUUUAUUUAGUGUUUGAUAUCGCUACUGUAAUUAGUUAUUGUCUAGCAUUUGAGAUUAAUGCUUCGUUUGUAGCUUUGAAUUUCAUUGAGUAAUAGAUAGGUCAAAAACCAUUGAUGGGAUUUUAUGGAUUGUAUGUUUUUCUUACUAUAAUCUCAUACAUGUUUCCUGUGAUGUAAUAAAUUGGCAUAUUUUUCUAAAAGGAUGUUUGGGUUUUUUGUUUAUUUGGUUAAAUUCUAAUAGUUAAACAUUUUAAUAGGAAAACCAGUUGAAAAGCUUCAAGCUUUGAUUUGUUAUUCUAGUUUUUCAACCAAUGGUGACUUAAAGAAAGGCUAUGAGAAGAUGAUGUUGGCAAAGGACUUGGCAUGUCUUGUUGAGGAAUCAUCUCAUAAAGAUGAGAGGAAAGUUAAGAGCAGGAUGGAGCUUAAGAGGUCGAUUGAGUUUCGCGUAAAGAAGAGAGUAAAGGAGCAAUUCAUUGAUGGGAAGUUUCGUAACUUAAUGGUCAAUGUGAUUGCCGUUCCAGUUACGCUUCAAGAUGCUUAUAAUUGUAUUAAGCUCAACUCAAAUGUCAACAUAUAUGUGAAGGAUGAUUCUAUAUGUUUUAAUUCCCUUGCAAAAGAGCUCCUUGAUGGGAGUUUUGACGUUGGAGGAGAUACUGUCUCGUUCUCGACAAGAGGUGUUGCCAAAGAAGUCCUUAUCCUUCCAAAUCCUAAGAUGAUAAUUGUUCAAGAAGCUAUCAGAAUGGUUUUGGAAGUUGUUUACAGGCCCCAUUUUUCCAAAAUUUCACAUGGUUGUCGAAGUGGGAGGGGUCAUCUGACCGCAUUGAGAUACAUCAAGAAAGAGGUUUCUAAUCCAAGUUGGUGGUUCCCAUUAAUUUUAAACAAAAAGGUUGAUGAUAAUAUCAUCGCUAAGCUCAUUUCGAAAUUGGAGGAGAAGAUAGAAGACGAUCAGUUAUAUGUUAUUAUCCGAAGCAUGUUUGAUACACAGGUCCUCAAUUUUGAGUUUGGUGGUUUCCCAAAAGGCCAUGGCCUUCCACAGGAGGGAGUAUUAUCCCCGAUAUUAAUGAACGUGUAUCUUGACUUCUUCGAUCAAGAAUUUUAUAGAUUAUCCAUGAGAUAUGAGGCCCUUCAUCAAGGAGAUCAUAAGGAUGAAGAUAAGUCACAUUCCAAGCUACGGAACUGGUUUAGGGGACUGUUAAAGGAAAAUGAUCUUAAAUGCACAACUAAUGACAAUUCGGGCCCAAGAGUUUAUUGUUGUCGUUUUAUGGAUGAGAUAUUUUUUGUAGUUUCUGGUUCCAAAGAUAUUGCUCUUAGUUUCAAGUCUGAGAUUGUAGAUUUUUUAAAGAAUUCUUUGCGCUUGGAUGUUGAUGACGAGCAAACCGAAGUUCUACCUUGUGAUGGGUCUAACGGUAGUCGCUUUUUAGGAGCUUUGGUUAAAAGACGUGUUCAAGAAGGUCCAGCUACAAGUGCUGUGCACAAGUUAAAGGAAAAAGUACGCCUAUUUGCUUCUCAAAAACAAGAUGCUUGGAAUGUCGGGUGUGUUAGAAUCGGGAACAAAUGGUUGGCUCAUGGUUUAAAGAAGGUUAAGGAGUCGGAAAUUAAGCAUUUAGCAGAUAGUGGCUCUACUUUGAGUAAAGUUUCUUGUUUCCGUAAAGCUGGGAUGGAGACUGAUCAUUGGUACAAGGUCUUAAUGAAAGUAUGGAUGCAAGACAUUAAAGCCAAAGCAGCAGAGAACGAGGAAUCUAUCUUGUCUAAGUAUGUUCCUGAACCAGCCCUUCCUCAUGAACUAAAGGAAUCUUAUUAUGAAUUUGUGAAGUGUGCAGAUGAAUAUGUUUCUUCCGAAACAGCUACUACACUUGCUCUUUUACCAAAUUCAAGCUCAAACACUGGAUCUGUCACUAUCACUGAGAUUCUUGCUCCAACUGAUGCCAUAAAGAAGCGACUGUUCCGAUAUGGAUUGACCACCUCUGAAGGAUAUCCUCGUACAGCUUCACUGCUCGUUUUACAAGACAGCAUCCAAAUAAUUGACUGGUUUUCGGGAAUUGUCCGUCGAUGGCUUCGGUGGUAUCAAGAUUAUGACAACUUCGACGAGGUCAAGCUUUUAAUUUCUAGUUUACUGCGGAAAUCCUGUGUUCAUACUCUAGCAACAAAAUAUAGGAUUCAUGAAAGUGAAAUAGAGAAACGAUUUGAUUCGGAACUAUGCCGAAUCCCCUCGAUAGAAGAGGUGGAGCAAGAGCUGGCAUAUGAAACAUCGUAUUCUCACCCAUUUGAUAAUGACGAAGCAUUGAUGUAUGGAAUUUCAUAUAGUGGUUUGUGUCUGCUAUCACUGGCAAGAAUGGUGAGCCAGUCAAGGCCUUGCAAUUGUUUUGUUUUGGGUUGCUUAGUGGCAGCACCUAGUGUUUAUACUCUCCAUGUUAUGGAAAGACAAAAAUUUCCGGGUUGGAAGACAGGAUUCGCAAGUUGUAUUCAUCCAAGCUUGAAUAAAAGGAGAAUCGGAUUGUGCAAGAAACAUUUAAAGGACUUAUAUCUUGGUCAUAUAUCACUUCAGUCUAUUGAUUUUGGGGCAUGGAAGUAAUGCUGUCAACAAAGCCAAAAAAUAUCAUUUAAACAGUAGACUCUUGAGAAGAAAGGAGAAACCAAAUGAAUUGCUGAACUGGUUUGUGUGGGUGGUUUGCUGCCUAUAUUCGCUAUUAAUGGUAAAACACCUCACAAGGAAAAAUGAGCUCGGGAAAUGAUGUACCAAUGGCAAAGAGUGGGAAGAAUAUUACAGGUCAUUUGAACUCAUCUAUGAUGAGCUUUCUGCGAAGUAAGUGUUGUUUUCCUUUACCUAAAGAAACUACUUGAGAUCAUAGUAUUGAUGAACACAUGACAUAGCACAUAUGUAAAGUCCGAUACCAUCAUUACUUCAUGAAAUAGCAUGGAAGGUAGGAAUCGGCGGUCGUCAUCCGUCUCCAGACUGGGAAGCCUCAAAGGGGUCUUCAUAGAGAACUGCAGUUGGUUAUUACAGCUUCCUCAUCGGACAGGGGAUCUCUAGAGUCUUGAAAGUUGAGAAGUCUUAAAUGUUUGACAGUUUUGUUAGCAGAAGUUGCCAACCAAAAUCAUGUCACUGCAGGAAAACGAUACGACCAUUGAUUCUGGCAACUGCAUUCAGAACAGAAGUCUUGAAUCCCAAGGGGAUUCUAGCAACCCGUGUCAAUCCCGAGCCCCUGCUAGCCUCCCCUAGAUCAGUCCCGGCCAGCCCCUUGCAAGUCUCCCUUUUGGUCCGUCCCUGCUUAUAUAUCAUGACGUGGUUGUAUGAUCUGGAUUCAUUCGGAAGAUGGGAGGGAGUGGAAUACUGCAUUUCUUUUUUCUUUUUCUUGGUCAAUUCAGAAUAUCCGCUGAAAUUGCCAUGAAAGUGAGCUGCAGGACAAAACCUGUGGAUUUGACAUUAUACUAAAAAUUCAUGUGACAUAUACAAUUCAAUUUGAUGCUAUAAAUUACAUGGAAAUAUGUAAGAUCAUUUUACGAGAAUUUCAAGAUAUUUUAAAGCAACCGGAAUUAACAUUCCUCUCAGCAAUGUUAUUUUAAUUUGAAGUUGAAUGUGAAAUAUGGAUUUGUUCAUAUUUUAACCUUUUUUUAUAAACUUAAUUAAUUAUAUAGUUAAAAUAUAAACAAGUGUAAAAUAUAAGUAAAGAGAGAAUGUUUUACUUGUGUAAUAGAGUUCUUUUUAUCCCUUAAACCUAUCCCUUAAAUUUUUUUAAAGGGAUGUAUUGCUAAUUCCUUUAGUGUAAUUAAAUUAGUAAUUAAACUCUAAACAUUAAAAAAUUACAAAAUAGUCAAUGAACUAUUUGUAAGUUUUCAUUUAAGAUAUUAGACUUUUAAAAUUAUUGUUGUAUGACAAAGUUUAUUUUUUUUUAUGAAACAAUUUUGUCACGAAUCUGUAAGCUAAAAUUUAAUUAGUUUUUUCAAUCUGAUUGUCAAAUGGAUUUGAAUCUAAAGAAAGAUGUAGUCAAUGAGUUAUACUCCAUUUAUCAAUUGUCACUUAAAAUUUACUAGUCGAAUAUAAAAAAAACUUUAAUAACCAAAUAAUCUAAAUAAAAUUUUUUAAAUAUUUUAAUAAUCAUUAUAUAACUUUUUAAAAUUAAAAAAUAUUAAUCGAAAAGUUAAAACUUUUCGAAAAAGUAUAUUUUUCUUUAUAGAAAAAAAACAAAAAUAGGAAAAGUUGUAGGAAAUAAAGUGCGGUCGGAACAAGGCUGGCGCCAAGGAUGAGUGGGUCCUUAUGCUCUCUAUCAUUUGGUCUGGCUGGCACAUUGACUUGCUUACUUUCAUUUGGUCUGGCUGGCACAUUGACUUGCUUACUUUAAAGCCCUUUUUAAGGUUAUUGAGCUUGACACAACUGGCUGGUCUGGUCUGCCUCAGCUCAAGCUCAAGCUCCAGCACAAGUCAGGUCAACUUCUUGGAAGACAGACUAAAUCUCAAACCCCAACCCAGUUUUCAGACAGAACACAAAACUGAAGUAAGCAAGAUCAAGUGUUUCCCGGUAUGCCCACUUUCUUCUCUCUCUUUUUUUUCUUGUCUGAAUAUGGACUGUGUUGAGUUUGCUGCAAAAUGAGCUACAAUGCCGUAUCUUGUUAUUGCUUGUAACUAGUAGCUUGGAUCUUUACAAUUUUGACUUAAAUUAAGUGUUUUCUUUCAUGUGUAUAGCUCUGGUGUUUCUUGGAAUCCACGACUUUUUUGGGGUAUUCUUUGAAUAAGACUUUGUUGAAAGUUGAGAAGUUUCAAAAAAAAUGGGUAAAUUGCAUGUAAUUUGUUCAUCUUUGGGAAGUUUUACAGAUUUUUGUAAAGAUUUUGUUACUUCUAAGUUUCUGUUGAAAGUUGGAUAAGGUUAUCCAUUUCAAUUUGCUCUUGGUUAUUGGAUGAUAGCAAAGGUUGACUUUGGUAGGGUUGACUCGAUUUUAGUUUUAACCAGAGUGACCAUAAAUGUUGGGAAAUAAUGCAAAAUUUAGCUCUUGAAAGGAACAAAGGAUAAUGUCCUAAUUUAUAAACCACCAGCAUUGGAGCCUCAAAACUCAAUGAGAUGAAGUCUUUUUAUGUGCUAGAUAUAAUCCCAAUGAGAUCCAUCUCUGUGUUUUUGCAGUGAUAUGCAAUCGCAACUACCAAUUUGUGUGGUCUUACAAUUAAGAAAAUAUGAUAUAUAUAUAUUUGUUACUGCUUCAUAACAAGACAUAGUUUCUGUUAUACUGAUUUACUUGCAUUGGCAGCAUGGAAGCACUGGCGGUGCAAGCUGGUGGACAAGGUGUUGGUUCACUGGUUACACCUGCGGUUGAAGGUGGAAAGAGUAUUUUCAACUGUUUGCGGCACAAAUAUGCCUACGUGAAGAAUAUACGAGAGAAUUUUGACAAGCUUGUGAAGGAGGAAGUAUAUUUGUCUAAUGUGGAUGCAGAUGUUAAAACAAAGUUGGAGAGAAACAAAUUAACAAAAGAAAAAACGAACAGAUGUGAAACCUGGCUCAAUGAGGUCGAAAAUAUGAAACAGGAGAUUGAAAACCUUAAGGUUGACUACAAAAACACCAGCUCGUAUUUUUGCGGACUAUGUCCAUUUCCGAGUUUGCUAAAGCUUGGCAAGCGUAUUGUGAAGAAGACAACAGAGGUAGUUGAGCUGAGGAAUCAAUUAGGUCAAAUAACUACAAUGCAUGAGAAGCCACCGGCACCACCAGUUCCUGUUAUAGAGAAGCAUGCUCGGAAAAAAAGUGAUGUGCCAUCAUUUGAUUCUCAUGUAGAAACACUGGCAGAGUGGCUAGAGGAUGAGAACUUGAAAAGAAUCUGCAUAUGGGGACCUCCGGGUGUAGGGAAGACCAAGAUAAUGGGAAUGUUGCAUGACAGGGUUGGUAAAUCUGGUAAAUUUGACAUCAUCUUUUGGGUGAAUGUAACAGCCGAAGGGAGAAUAAGAGACAUACUGGAUGAAAUAUGGAAGCGUUUAGAUAUGAAAGUAGACGGCAACUAUGGUGCUGAUCAAAGAGCAAACAUGAUAUCCGAAGAGCUAAAGGACAAGAGCUAUGUAUUGUUUCUUGAUCUUGAUGAUAUUGUCUCAGAGAUUGAUCUUAGAAAAGUUGGAAUUCAUGAUGAACACGAGCAUGGAAAAGUGGUGUUUGCUUGCAGAUACAAGAACAACAAUAUCUGCGGAGGCACAGAUGAAGAGAUGAAUGUGCAGAGAUUAUCGGACGAGGAUGCUGAAAGCUUUUUUUGGGAAAUAGUUGGUUCUGAUCUUAAGAGUAAUCCCGAUAUCAAGCCAGUUGCGAAACACAUCAUCAAAGAAUGUGGUGGCAUGCCGCUCUUGAUCAAGUUAAUCGGCAAUAGAUUGGCAAAAGUGGAUGACCCUGCGAUAUGGCGAGAUUUGUUGUCCCAAUUAAGGUCACCGACAAUGGAACCACUAGAACCACUGGAAGAAGUUUACAAGGCUUUUAAACUUGUUUAUGAAAAACUAUCAGAAGAGAUGAAGCCUUGUUUGCUGUAUUGGGCAGUGUUUCCUGCCGGUUACGAAAUUUUUCGAGACCAUAUAAUUGAUUGUUGGAGAGCGGAGCAGUUCUUUUCAAGCCAAAGAAAACUUCCUAGGACACGUGACAGGGGGCAUGCAAUAUUAGAUGAAUUUGUGAGGAAGUCUUUACUAGAAAAGGGAAGAAAAUGGGGGCAUUUCAAGAUGUAUGAAUAUUUUCAACGGGUGGCAUUAAGGAUAGCAAAUCUUGAAAAGAACUUCAAUUUUUUUGUUACCGAGGAUGAAAACAUUAUAGACGAAGAGUGGGAACGUGCAAGGAGAGUGUCACUUAUUCGGGUUCGCCUAUCUACUCUACCAAAAAGACCCCAAUGUUGUGGGAUCUUGACAUUGUUACUGCAGGAGAGUUGCUUGGCCGAAUUUCCAAGGGAAUUCUUCGGCUAUAUGUGUGGCCUUCAAGUUCUGAACUUGCAUGAAAUACGAAUCACUUCACUUCCAUCAUCGAUAUGCAGCUUAACAAAUCUGAAAGGGCUGUUUAUAAACAACUGUAGUCAAUUAGUACAGCUUCCUUCUCAGAUCGGGGAUCUCCAGCAUCUAGAAAUCCUUGAUAUACGUCAGACCGGUCUCUAUAGUUUGCCCGUAGAGAUUGGAGAAUUGUUCAAUCUAAAAUGUUUGAGAGUUUCAUUCACAGAAGAUGUUGGCAAGUACAACCAUGUCGAAGAAGUGAAGCCGAUGAUUCCUUCUAACGUGAUUGCAAGGCUUUCUAAGUUAGAAGAACUAAGCAUUGAUGUGAGCCAUAGUAGCAGCAGAUAUCAAAAUGCAGCCGAAAUUGUCCGUGAAAUUUCUGAGUUGGAAGAGUUAACCACACUUUGUUUCUUCUUCCCCGAGUUGGCAUCUUUCAACUCUUUCAUCCGGAAUAGCAAAUCAUGGAAAGGAAGCAAUACAAUUUCAGCAGGCAAUAGCUUCAGAUCAUUCAACAUCGUUGUUGGUUGCCGGAGAAACAAUCCUGCUUCUGAAUUUAGAGUCUUCGAAUGUUCAGCCGAGAAGCAUCUGAGGUUUUAUGCAGGAAACGAAUUUCCGAAUGCUAUUUUAGAGGUACUAAAGCAAGCCAAAGCGCUCGAACUGAUCGGUCACCAAACUGCUACCAGUUUAUCAGGCUUCAGAGCUGAUAACUUGCAAGGAGUGGAAGCAUGUAUUGUCGAGGAAUGUAACCAGAUGGAGAACAUCAUAGAUAGAGACCAAACAAGUAUUGCAUUUCAAGAUGAUGACAACAUGGGUGUUGAAUUCGAACGCUUGAAAAGCCUACACAUUUGCAAUCUCCCGAAACUAAAAGGUAUCUGGCGGGGCUCGAUUGAAUCUAAAAGCCUCUGUAGCCUUACAUCUCUCUCGUUAAAAGGAUGCAACAGCAUAGGAGUGCUUUUUUCACAGGGAAUGAUCAUACGACUCUCUCAGCUAGAAAAGCUGGAGGUGAAGGACUGCUGCGUCUUGAAGGAGAUUAUUGAAGAUGGAAGUAUAGUCGAAUCCCACUCCUUUCCCAAGUUGAAGUAUUUGCAGCUCCAUGACUUGCCGGAAUUAUGCUCCAUUUCUCAUAACUCCUUGCAAUGGCCUUCCUUGGAGACAGUAUUGAUCAAGCCAUGCAUGAAGCUAAGAAAUUUACCACAUACAAUUAAAAACGCAUCAAAACUAAAAACGAUUCACUGCACAGAAGAUUGGUGGAAUCAACAGGAUUGGCCACAUGACACUAAUAAAGAUGAUUUCAAAAACUUUCUCAGUUUCAUAUGAUGAGAGGAGCCUCAACUAGGGCAAAGACAUCCCAAGCAAAAGGCAUUAUUGAAGAGACUGUUGAAGAUUUAGUGAGAAUCAAGAGAAAUAUAAGCCCGGACCUGACUAUAUGCAGCUCUCAAGUAUUCUUAGCUGAGUUGGCUUAUGUGAUAGCCGAGCCUGAGUGGGAAUUGGUCAUUGUUACAUUUUUCGUCCUUGAAUUUCUCCAAAGAUUUUUAUUAUGUAUGGAGAUUCACCCAGCCUUCAACCAAUGAGGUAAACUCUCUCCUCAUAAUCAUACUCCUACCACAGUAAGAUUCUCGAUCAUGGUUUCUCCUUUAUUUUCCAUUUGGUAUUGGGUGUGAUUAGAAUAGGACUACCCUCUUCGUUUUGCAUGUUUUCCCUCCCUUUGUCUCAGCCAGUUACUAUGUGCUUUGUCAAGUUGAAGAAACAUUGUGUGCAGCCUGCCAGAGUGGCAUUGUCUCCAACAGCGAGACAUUGAAUCCUUUUUAAGUUAAAAGUCCUAUAACACGUAAAUAUGUUGUUAGCUAAGUUCAUGUUGAAUUUUCUCAAUGAUUGUUCUUUUGUUUUUGAGUGAAUGCUAGGUUUUCUGUUAGUUCAUUGUAUACAUUAAUGGCUGUAUUUCAGAAUUCUUCGGUUUUAAAUUUCUUGAUUCAUUCUUUGCAUGUUUGGUUACAAGUAUGGAAAUGUGAUCGUCCAAAGACCCACCAAAUACAUGAAAGCAGUUUGUUCAAGCUGGCCGUAGUUAUGCUCGAAACGGUAUGUUCCAUCUCAGGCAGCAUGUAAUCUCCAUUGAUGAAGAGCUUUUAGGUGGGAUUCAAGCAUUCAUCUCAUCAGAUGUUUCAACAACUACUACAUCAAAGACAACUUUUCAAGACAUUGCUUCCACAUUUUGUCGAACCAGUGACUGCAAAGUCCAUUCCCGACAACCCCCAAUCACUUCCUCUUUAAAGUAAUUCGAUAUUUGUCAUGGUUUGCAUUUUGCAACAAAAUAAACUUCUAAGUAGAGCAAAAUAUAUUUGCAAUAAUGUUUUUUAACUAAUUUUUGAUAUCAAAAUACAUUUUUUUAUUAUUUAAUAAAAUGAUUUUAAUACAUAUAAUUAAUAUAAGUGAUCAUUAUUAAAAUGAUUAAAAAUAUAUAAUAUUCGCAAAGUAAAAGAAUUUCAAAAUAUAACCUAAAGUAAUUUUAUAAUAUUAAGAAGUAUAUAUGUAUAAUGCUGAAAAGAUGCACAUAUUGUUUUUUCUUCAAUUUCUACUACUUUUUAUAUCUACAAAAUCAAUUAUCUUAAUUCAUUAUUAUUUUUUUUAGGGAAAAUUUUAAUUCUUGACUUUAAUACUUAAUAACUUAUCAAUAUUAAUAAUAACCUAUUUCAGACUCAUGUUAAGAUAAACUUCUCAAAUAAAAGUUAUGAAAUCAUGCAUGCAUGUCACACGUUACAUGACAUAUCGAAUAAAAGAUAUAGAAUUAGUGAAGUCAAUUACUCUCUUAAAAGAAACAUGUUAGGCAAUUUAUUAAACCAGAACUGCAUAAAUAGGUAAAGCAAUAUCAUGUUAGACAUUAUUAAACAAAAGUUACUAAAGCUAUACAAGUCAACUGAAACGAUAUGUCAAACAAAAUUUAUAAAAUCGAUUAAAUUAUUUAUGAGUUACAUAACAUAUGAAUACAAGUUGCAAAAUCAUAAAGAUAUAAUUACAAUUUAUACAUACUAUCAAACAUAACAUAAAAAAAUUAUAAUAUAAUUACAAUUUAUCGACAAAUACAUCUAAAGAAUCAAAUUUUAUUAAUAAGAGAGUUGAAGUAAUUACCUGAUGGGUUCUUAACGAAUAACGUUAAACAAAGCUGAAAAGCACUGUGUGGAAGCAAAAUAAAGGCAAAAAUUGAAAUAGCCAAGAUCAUGGAAACGAUGGAAAAACACCUGUAGAACCUCGAAAUCUGUGAAUCAUGCUGGAUUUUCAGUGCCGUAAAAGCACCUGUGAAUGUAAAUAUAAUAGAAAUUACGAAGGCGUGAAAUUUACAAGACUGUAAUUUGACUUUAAUGUGCUCUUGUUGCUAUUGGAAUAAAAGACUGCAAUUUGUUUUCACAAUUUGCAUCUUAGUGACAAAAUCUUGUAUCCAUAUUCCAUCAAAAUCGGAGUCUAUACACCUGAUGAUCUCUAACUGAUUAGACCUAGCAUGUAAUCUUUUGUUCUCUGAAAAUACCUUAUAACCCUCUUGGAUGCUAUCUAAUGGUCCAAACCAGGGUUGCUUAAAAUAUCUGCUUAACAUCCCAAUAGUGUAUACAAGAUUCCAGUGUAUACAAACCUGAACAUACAUUAGACUUUCCACUGCUAAAAUGUAAAAAAUCUAAUGCAUUUUUGUAACCUUAAUAUCAUUCUUAGGGCAUUGAUUGAGGCUAUACUUAUUAUUGACAAGCAGUAUGUCUUUAACAUAUAAAACCAAAUAUAAAACUUUACUCCCACUAAACUUAUGGUAUAUACGAUUAUCAACAAAAUUCAUCUCUAAACCGAAUGAGAUAAUCAUUUGGUAAAUUUUGUAAUAUUAUUGACGAGAAGUCUACUUAAGCCCAUAGAUGAAGUUCUUUAAUUUGCAAAUCAUUACUUUUGUAUCAUCAGACACAAAGUUUUCUAAUUGCACCAUAUAAAUGUAUGAUCAAUGUUACCAUUGAGAAACAAUUAACUUAAUAUUCAUCUGAUGUAGCUCAAGGUCAAAAUAUUCCACUAAAGCCAUUAUAACCCUUUCUCUAGUGGACCUUUUUAAUGACAUUCAUUCUUGAGGUUGUUGAGUUUGUUCUUCUGGAACAAUUACCUCAUCUUGAAUAGGGAGUUGUUUAACAUUGUCUUAUUGAGGUUUUAGAUUCACUUCUUAAUCAAUGAUAGGUAUGAGAGUCUAAACAUAUAGUAGGAACUGAGUUAGAAUCCAAUUCCUCCUCAAAAGCAAUGUUUCUAACCUUAUUUCUCCCCCAAACUCAACAUCCUCAAAGAAUGUUGAAUUCUUGUCUCAAAAAUAUUCUUAAUUGUAGGAUCAUAAAAUUCAUAGCCCUUAGAUUGCUCAGAAUUUCCUUAACCCCUAACUUUACAAACAUCAAAGAAGUCAUAAGUGAUGUCAUUUCAACCUUAUCGUUUUUAGCAAAACGUUUCUCAAUUUCAUCAAGGAAACCUUGGCCUAGUAAUCUUUUCAGAUUCUAUGCCCUUAAAGGCUUCUAAAUGUUGUGCUUUAUGAUCAUUAGACUCAUACAAUUUGAACGAUUCCACCUCUCAAAAUCCCUUUUAACAUAGGGGGUGCUUUCCGCAGUGAGAGGUGCGAGUAGUUCUUCCUUUAAUGCAAGGUCUAUGUUCAUAUAGCCAAGCACUAUAAGUAAGUGCCUUUUCCAUUCAUUGAAAUUAGCCCCAUUAAGUAUGGGUAUAGAAUUUAUAUUAGCAGAUAUUGUGGCAGUAGAAUAUGAAUUAGUUGAAAAUAGAACAAAAAAAAAAUAAAAAUAAGCUUACAUCAAUAUUCAUAGUAAACAAUAAAUUCAGGAUAAUGGCUAAUCCCAUCUCAAGACGCCAAACAAAACUUUAAUAUCAAGUCUUUAGGCAAUAAUAUUAACAGUAAGCGGUACUCUUGUUGUAGCAAUCAAACAUUGACAAUAAACUAUGUCAAACAAUGAAUUAAUCUUUAGACUAACUUAUUGCUCACAUAUAAUACCUUAUAAUUGUCACACAUUUAUCACCACAGGUGUCGUUGUAAUUAUGCCAAAUAUUAACUUAUCUUUGGGUAAAUUAAUAAAUACAUGAAUCACAAAAACAUAUAAUCAUCUUAAUAUUUCAAAUAAGCUAAUCUACACAAAAGAGGUCACUUUUGUGGCAUUUUGUUUCAACUAAUUUAUUUAAAAUAUUAGACAUCCUUAAUUAAAAGCCAAAAUCUGAAUUUAUUUGUUUCAAAAUAUUUACCUUAAUUUCAUCUUUCAAUCAAAUUAAAAGAUAAUAAUAAAUAUUUAUAUAUAUAUAUUUAUCCCAAAACAACAUACAAUGAUGUUGGUAAAUAUAAUAAUAGUUGAAUAAAUCAUAAACCAUAAACAACUUCACAUAACACUUCAAAUUUAAACCAAAAUAAUUUGAAUAAAGGUAAACCUCAUCUUAAGAUAUCGGACACUCCAUUAAUAUUUCAUCUUUGGACAAAAUAUUAAUUUGUAAGUGAUAUCUUGGUGUAGUAAUCAAACAUUGACAAUAAGAGCAUGUCGAAUAAUAAAUCUUCCUUUGGGCCAAUUUAUUACUCACAUGUAAAACCGAAUAGCCGUCACAUGUUUAUCACCAUAGUUGCACAUGUAAUAUUAUUAACCUUCACUUGGGCCAAUCAAUAUUAACGUAACUUAAGUUACAUGCACACAAACUUUUAUAUUUUAAAACAAAAUAAUUUAUACAAAAAAAUCACUUUGGUGACUUUUUGCUUCAAUUCAAUUAUUUUAAAAUAUAUAUAAACAUACUAAUAUUCAAAUUUAAAUUUCCCCAAUAGUCAAAUGUCAAAACUAAUUUUUUUUUAUUGCUUUAUAGACUCUGAAAUAACCCAAAAUAAGUUUGUCUAAAUAAUGCAAUAAAAAAAACCGAAAACCUUGUUUUUUUGACUAUUUCCUUCUUCUUUUUUUGUUCCAAAAUCAUAUAUCAAAACCAAACAGAAAUAAUGUAGUGGUUCAAAGCCAAAUAAUUAACAAGCACAUGUAUUCAUAAUUUUGGCAUAGAUAAAAAUACCAAAACAAUUCACGCAUAUACAUGUAUUCAUAAUCAAAUAGAAAAGCUUACCCUAAAUUUACCAUGUAAAUCCAAAGUUAUAUUUAUGAUUAAACAGAUAUUCACAUAAAUACUUGAAAAAUAUUUUCAAGCCAAUAAAUCUCAAAACAACAAAAUCAUAAUAUCCCACAAUUCAUACAAUAAACCAUAUCAUCAUAAUUUAACCAAAUAUUUAGAACCAUAAGAUGCCAAAACCUAAAAUUAUAUAACCAACUUUAAAACCAAAAUAUUUAAAUAUGUAUAUAGUUGACAUGAAUUUGCACCAAAGCACCCAUAAAAUUAUAUAUAUAACCAUAAAUUAAAAAAAUUAACUUCAAUGAUAUCCAUCAAAACUUAAUUUCACCAAUUAAACUAUAAAAUAUAUCUUAUUGAAUAAUGGUUAUAAACGUCUGUUCACACAAACUAUAAUCAUGCAUUAAUCCUCAAAAUCAUUGAUAUGCAUAUAAUAUAUAUACACACACAAAUAUAAAAAUAAUACUGGCUUGUCUUACAUAUUUUAUGUAAACUCAAACUUAUAUUCUGUAACGUCCCCUAACCCUAUACUGUCACCGGAACAGGGUUACGAGACAUUACCAGUCAGUACAGUCCAAUUUCGGUCAUUAAUUAAAAUAAAUAUUCACACACAUCCUAGUUUUAAGAUGUCGUCCCUUUAAUGGGCCCUUGCGGUCCAAUAUGAACAGUAAAUUCAAUUCGGGACUAAUUUAGAAUCACUACGAAUUUUUAGUAAAUUUCAAAAUUCAUACUACAUACCGUUGCCAACCAUAAUUUACUCAUUUCAUCAAUACUUUUACAACCUAAAUGACUCUCAUUAAACAUCCUGGGUACAUGCCACUAUCAAUACUCAACAUACUUUACCUUAAUGAAUUCGGGAUCAUCCUGGGAUGUUGAUUCAACGUACUAUCUUUACUUAACCUGCGCACGGAAACAAACCGUACGCUGAGUAUGGUAUACUCAGUGGUAUUUCUAUAAUCCGAACAAUUAAUAAUAUAACAAAUACUUAAUAUCAUAAUAACAAUUACAAUUAUUCAAUUAUUUAUUCAUAGAUAAAUUUCAACUACUUACCAUAUAAAUUUUAUACAAAUCAUAUAAUAAACACAAUAACAUAAUUGUUCAAUUCUUAACUAAAUCCAUUAUUAUUACUCCAUUCUUUCACUUACUACUCGGUAUAGCUUUCCUUAAUUUACUCACAAUUCAAUAUCAUUAAAUUAUAUUCAACUAUACACUUAUCAAUCAUAUUCCAUUUUAAUUCAUUUCAAUAACAGUCAAUUUCAUUUAUAUCAUAUCAACUUACUAUCCCUGAUAGCUUUCAGUAUAUACACACGAUUCAUAUAUCUCAAAUCACAUUUCAAUUCAUCAAGUGGCAUCAUAUAUCAUCAAUUCGAACUCCAAUCAUUUCAUGAACCCUUGGUUCAUAUUUUCAAUUUCAUAUCUAAAUUUUCAAUUCUCAAUUCAAUUUCUCGUUUCAUUUCAAUAGCUUGAUCAAUCAAAUUUAUUCAAUUUAUCUUUCACUUAUUUACCCCUAUUAACAAACCCGGACUUUGACGAAUACACAGAUUCAACCCAAACACACCAGUACGGCACAUUGUGCCUAAAACGGUACAUAGUACAUGAUCAGUAUACGACACAUAAAGUGCCUAAAAACGACACACGAGGUGCCUGAUACGACACACGAGGUGCCUGAAAUACGACACAUAAAGUGCCUAAUUGGUAAAGUCGGCAAAUCCCGUACACUUUCAGAUCCUAUGGCAUGCCAAUUAUAUCCGACUUAGCCCACUAGUUAAUACGGUAUUUCAUUCACUUUCUCAUUUAAUAAUUCUUUCAUCAAUAUACCAUUCUGAUAAUCACAUAUAUUCACCCAUUUUCACAAUUCAUACAAUUUCAUUCAUUCAACAAUAUAAUUUCAAUUAUUCACAUUAAUUCAUAAUUCAAUACAAUUCAAUUCAUUUUUCAUAUCAAAUAUUCAAAUAUCACAUCUCAUAUAUUCAUAUCAAUUUCCUCAUAUUCUAAUCAAUAUAUUUUUCAAUAUAAUAUUCAUUCAAUAAUCAAAUUUCUACAUAAAUCAUAUAUAUUAUAUAAUUUAAUCAAUAUAAAUUCAAUCAAAAUAAUUUCAAUCAAUAUAAAUUCAAUAAAACAGAUAUUCAUAAGUCAAUUCAAUAUAAAUUUAUCACACACUAAAUCAAUUCAUUUCAAUUAUAAAGACACAAUACAAAUAAUUCCCAUAUUAAUUAUUUAUCAUAAUAUUUAUCCAAAAUUCAAUUAUCAUAAUUGCAUAAUAUCUCAUUCACACACACACACACAUAUUUAUAUAUAUAUUUAUAAUAUAUAAUUCAAUUUAAUUCAAUCAAUAUAAAUUCAUCACAUACCAAAUUAAUCCAUUUCCAUUAUAAACACAAUAAUUCUCACUUCAACAUUUAUUAAAUGCAUUGAAUAAAAAAAUAUAACAAUUAAUAACUAGGUUCGGAUUAUAGAAAUACAAACUGUAAUUUUCGAGCUAACUCCCGUUGACUUUGUCUUGUCCUUUCUUAGCCGAGAUUUCCGGUACCACAUUGACUACAAAAUUAAUACAAUUCAUAAUCAUUAAUACAUUACUAAUUCAUAUCUUGAGUUACAGAAUUCUAAAUUAAGAUCCGCUAAUUUUUCUGAAACUAGACUCACAAAUCUUCUUACAAUAAAAAUUUCAGAAUUUUUGGUUUAGUCAUUAAGUACAGUUUAUUCUUUAAAUUCACCCCUAUUCUGUUGUCUGACAGUUUCGUCCCUUCUUCACUAAAAAUUAAUUAUCUCGCAGUACAGAACUCAGAUAAUAUUCCCUUUGAUUUCUCCUGAAAAUAGACUCAUUAGGGAUUCUAAAAAUAUAACUUUAAGCCUCUAAUUAUUUUUUUUCAAUUUUUGGUGAUUUUCCAAAGUCAGAACAGGGGAACCCAAAUUCAUUCUGACCUUGUCUCACAAAAUUCAUUAUAUCUCAUAAUUUACAAUUCAAUUGCUUAUAUCGUUUCUUCUAUAAGAAACUAGACUCGAUAAGAUUUAAUUUCAUAUUUUAUUCAUCUUCUAAUUCGAUUUAUAUAAUUUUUUUAUGAUUUUUCAAAUUUAGACUACUGCUGCUGUCUAAAACAGUUUUAGUGCAAAAUGUUGAUUUACUUUAAUUUCAAUUUAAUCCUAACUAAAUUCUCUUACUUUUCUAUCUUAAUUCAUACUUUAUUUCUAUUCAAAUUUUUUCCAAACUCAUACUUAACUAUUAAAUUUCCAGCAUAUUUUCAUAAUUUCGAAUUUAUUUCCAUUUAAUCCCUAAAACUCAAAACUUAUAGCUUAGUUUACGAUUCAAUCCUUUAUUCAAUUCCAAUCAAAAUUUCUAUCAAAUAAACCCCCAAUUCCAUCAUUUUAUUCAACAUGAACCAAACUUAGAAAUCUAAUGACUUUCAAAAUUUCUACUUAAAACAAGUACUAUUUAUCUCUAGGAUUCCAAAAAACUCAAAAAUCAUAAGAAAAUGGGCUAAAUUGACUUACCAAAUUAACUUGGAACCUUUAAAACCUUAUUUCCCCUUUUUCUUUUCUUUCUUUCUUUCUCCCCUGUUUCUUCUCUGUUUCGUUUCCUGCUAUCCUGUUUCCUUCCUUCUUUUUAUUCUUUUGUUUCUUUCCUUUAUUUCCUUUUUAUUUACUCUACUUUUAAUAAUAAUAAUUUAAUAUAUAUUUUAACACAUAAAAACCUCAAAUUUUUAUGUUUAUGCCGCCUCACUUAGGACAAAUGGCAUAAUUGCCAUUUUGGUCCUCUUCAUUUUCUUUUAAUCUACAAUUUAACUUUCAUCCUUUAUUCAAUUUAGUCCUUUUUCUUAAUUACUCUUAAUUAAAUUAAAUUCACUUAAUUAAACUCUAAUUAACCACUCAUUUUACUUCGUAAAUAUUUUUAAUAAAUAUUUAUGAAUCCGUUUUUCAGAAAUGAAGACCCGAAAAUAUACUUUUUCGGUAACGGUAAAAUUCGGGUCAUUACAUAUUCAUGACUAAAAACAUUAUUAUAAAACUUCUUUAUACUCACAAAUACUUAAAAAAAUCCAUAACCACAAAAUAUAAAAAGAAUCCCAAAUUAUAUAAAAGUCUUUAUAUGCGCAACUACUUAUGAAAAUUCAUAGCCAUCAUAUUUAAAAAAAAAUAAUCCCAAAUAUUUUAAUUUUAGUCAAAUUCCAUAAAGAUUAAAACUUACAUAAAAUAAUUAUAAAAGAAACCAAAAGUAAUCAUUUGUAUAUAUGAAUGGUGAAUAUAAUUCAUCAUAAAUAAAGAUAAAAGAUGACGAUUCCAUAUAUAUUCAACUACAAACAGAAAAUUUAAAACAAAUAGUACGAAAAAAAAUAUAUCUUAUCAAGUGAACAACUUUCAAAGCCAUUACCAAAACUUAUAAAAUAAUUGUAUGAAAAGAAGAGAAAGAAAUCUCACAAAUGAAUUUUUAUCAAUUGAUUAUAAAUAAAUAUAUAAACCUUCAUCUUUCGAAUAGCAUAUGCAAAUAUUAAACUAGAUUGUAUUUAUAAAACUUUAAAACUUUAUUUAAAGAAUCAAAACCCAAAAAUUUAUCAAGAAUCUCAAAGAUUCAACAUAAUAUAUAAUUAAAAUAUCAAAUCCAUAAAAUUAAAAAAAAAAAAGAAAAAUGAAUCAAUCCAAAAUUAAGAAAUAAUCAAUUCAUUCUCAAUGAUUCAACAUGAUAAAGUUUGGAUGCCACUAGUUAGAAUUUAUAAAAUAAAUCUAAAAUAAACUUAAUAAACCAGGAUCUAUCAUGUCAAAUUAUCAAGAAUAAAUAAAUAACAGAACUAUAUGCGGAAGCGUACCUGAAUCAUAGAUUCCUUGAAACUUUCUGGAUCUUAGGGAUUUGAUCUUCAAAUUAGCACACAAGAAAUUCAGAGAAUAUCUGCUCUCUCUUUCCUAAUGAUGGGAUAUUAGAAAAGAUAUAUUGUGUAUAAUUUGGGGACCAUAACCCUAAUAUUUAUAACCUUAGCAUAUUAGUUCUAAUCAAAUUCUAAUUAGCUCGUCAUUAAUUAGAAUUUGAUUAGAAGAGUAUCUACACGUAUUUGACCCAUACUUUAUUUAAUAAUUAAAAGCCUAAUAAAAUUCUAACCAAAUUAGAUAACUUUUAAUUUGGGCUAACCUAUCAUGAUAGUAAAUAAUAACAUGUAAUUAUCUUUAUUAUAUAUGUGAUGUCCAAAUUUUCUAACAGAAUCAUGUUUAUAAUCAGACCAGCUAUGCAGGUAAGUAGAAAGUUGCAUUCAGUGAGGGUGGUGGAGUGUUGCAGUGAUGAAAAUUGCACCAUUUUUCUUCUGGAUUGAGAGGUUUAUUAGAGUUCUUCAGUGGAUCAUGAACCAGGCAAUCUUUUCUUUGUGAAUAGCAAUUAGAUUAUAGUGUUGAUUUCUUCUUUGAGGAUCCUGCAAGGAAAUUUUAAGAGUAAAAAAUAUGGCACUGACUCUUGACCGUGGAAAAGUCUAGAGAAUUUCAUUCAUGUCAUAUUCACAAUUGAUUUGCUUAGUGUUCAAUUACCAUUUGUUAAGUUGAAUCCAUGUUGUUUUAUUUUCUCUUCAUCUGAAAUUGAAACUUCAUCAGAAAUUGUUUCCUUUUGUCCAAUUGAUCAACAGAUACAGAAAAAACACGUUUCUUUUGGUGAUGGGUUACUAAUUAGCGGAUCGGUCCUCUAUUGAUAUCUUGGAUCUGAUGUAUGUUUAUACGAAGUACUACUCCCCAUACUCGCAAUCGGUUCGAUGGUUAUAGGCGUGUAAAACGAUCUAUUUGUUUACUUACUGGUAGCAACACAUUGGGGAUUCUUCCUAUUUCGGUGUGCUUAGCCGGUCGUGGUCGAGGCGUUACCAUCAUUCCUCGAGUUCAAGCUAGAAUCACUUUGUUUCAACUCAAACACCAUGUGAUUUCUGUCGAUGAUAAUCAAGUAGGAUGGUUUUUGGUACUUUACAUCAAACUUGUUCGUGGAUGGAAUCAGUUCGGGUUGAAUCAAGAUAAAGCAUGGAUUAUUAUUGAGUCUAUAAAAUACAUUAAUUAUUAUAAAAUAUAAUAUCAAUAUAAAAUUAAUUUUGAUUUUGCGCUAUCACCGGCCUUAAGUAGUGCUAGGACCAAUCGUAGUUUUUGGGAAUUCAGCCCCUCCUCGACUCUUAAAUAGGAGGAAACCUACAUCUUCUUGUAUUGACAAGAAUGCCGAUACCAAUCGAACUAAAACUCAAUAUUGUUUCUACCUACUUUACAUUUGUUUUGUACCCACUCUCUUUUCCUCAAUAAUUUCAGUAAGCAAAUAUUAUUAAAUAAUAAUAAUAACUGAAAAAAAUUAUUUCAAUAAAGUUUACCAUUGUUUAAAUAUUAUAAAAUAUCAGUAUUUUAGAAAUUUUAUACAUCUUCCUAAAAUUAUUUUCUGAAAAUAAUGCUCGAUAAACAACUUGAAUCAUGCGAUUGAUUGCUAGUCUUACGAUUGCUUAUGGCUUUAUUGGGCUCAUAUCGUUGUUCCCCCCUCGCAAUUUCAUCAUGUUGGGCAUUGGCGACGGCUGUGCUGGCUUAAGGAACUUGCACACCGAUCAUCACCAAUUAAGAUGUGGCUUUGUUGAGAUGUUGAAAUGCAGCUAAAUUUUCCUAAAUUCGAUGGGGCUCAAAGACAUGGAUGUUAGAUUUAUAAAAUAAAUCUAAAAUAAACUUAAUAAACUAGAAUCUAUCAUGUCAAAUUAUCAAGAAUAAAUAAAUAACAGAACUAUAUGCGGAAGCGUACCUGAAUCAUAGAUUCCUUGAAACUUUCUGGAUCUUGGGGAUUUAAUCUUCCAAAUUAGCACACAAGAAAUUCAGAGAAUAUCUGCUCUCUCUUUCCUAAUGAUGGGAUAUUAGAAAAGAUAUCUUGUGUAUAUUUUGGGGACCAUAACCCUAAUAUUUAUAACCUUAGCAUAUUAGUUCUAAUCAAAUUCUAAUUAGCCCAUCAUUAAUUAGAAUUUGAUUAGAAGAGUAUCUACACAUAUUUGACCCAUACUUUAUUUAAUAAUUAAAAGCCCAAUAAAAUUCUAACCAAAUUAGAUAACUUUUAAUUUGGGCUAACCUAUCAUGAUAGUAAAUAAUAACAUGUAAUUAUCCUUAUUAUAUAUGUGAUGUCCAAAUUUUCCAACAAUCUCCCACUUGGACCACAUAUAUAUACCAAUUACUUUAUAAUUACAUGUCAUUAUAUAACCUUAUGAGCUCAAAAUUUUACUAUCAUAUCCAAAAGGCAUUCCAUACAAUCUCGUCCAUUAAUUAUGUUAACAUAGAACCAAGGCGACUUUUCUUACAAAUAUCGUAACUAAAUCCAUCCAUGAUCACGUAUGUUAACACAACCAAAUGACACAGAUCAAGUAUGGAUGUGAAGCAUGGAAAUUACAUGCAAUAUGAUCUAAACAUGUCUAUUUCCAACUGGUCCUCCUUAGUGAGAUCAAAUUUUACCAAAAUCAGAGUGUGAAUAAACCAAAUAAACUUUACUUCUGUAGAAAAUAAACUUAUUAUCUUUAAACUGAAAUAACUGAAAAUGUGUCUAUAACAUAAAAGCAUUUAAAAAUACAAACUCCCACUAAAACCAAAUAUCCUUUAAAUGACAUUACAUCCAUAUGAACAAUGUGCUAUUAUAAAACCUUAGGUGUAGUUCCUUAGUAAGCGGAUCCGCAAUCAUGGAGUUUGUCCUAAUAUGUUUUAUAAGCACUUAACCACUCUGAACUUUUACUUUAACAACCUGCAGGAAC
RNAcentral lists this long non-coding RNA (39877 nucleotides) under Gossypium barbadense (sea-island cotton). Its description in RNAcentral is "long non-coding RNA (GBAR_LNC008603)". The record is from RNAcentral. Lineage: Eukaryota; Viridiplantae; Streptophyta; Magnoliopsida; Malvales; Malvaceae.